AUAAAGUCUGACACUGUUUCCACUGUUUCCCCAUCUAUUUCCCAUGAAGUGGUGGGACCAGAUGCCAUGAUCUUUGUUUUCUGAAUGUUGAGCUUUAAGCCAACUUUUUCAGUCUCCUCGUUCACGCUUUUGCAUAUCUGAGGUUAUUGAUAUUUCUCCCAGCAAUCUUGAUGCCAGCUUGUGCUUCUUCCAGCCCAGCGUUUCUCAUGAUGUACUCUGCAUAUAAGUUAAAUAAGCAGGGUAACAAUAUACAGCCUUGACGUACUCCUUUUCCUAUUUGGAAACAGUCUGUUGUUCCAUGUCCAGUUCUAACUGUUGCUUCCUGACCUGCAUAUAGGUUUCCCAAGAAGCAGGUCAGGUGGUCUGGUAUUCCCAUCUCUUUCAGAAUUUUCCACAGUUUCUUGUGAUCCACAUAGUCAAAGGCUUUGGCAUCAUCAAUAAAGCAGAAAUAGAUGUUUUUCUGGAACUCUCUUGCUUUUUCAAUGAUCCAGCAGAUGUUGGAAAUUUGAUCUCUGGUUCCUCUGCCUUUUCUAAAACCAGCUUGAACAUCUGGAAGUUCAUGUAUUGCUGAAGCCUGGCUUGGAGAAUUUUGAGCAUUACUUUACUAGUGUGUGAGAUGAGUGCAAUUGUGCAGUAGUUUGAGCAUUCUUUGGCAUUGCCUUUCUUUGGGAUUGGAAUGAAAAGUCACCUUUUCCAGUCCUGUGGCCACUGCUGCAUUGGUACUAAAUAAAAGAUAAGAAAAAAAAAACAAAAACAAAAACCAAGAGUCAAGACAAAAGAAAGGUACCAAGGAAUAAAAAAAUGUGGGAAUCGGGUAUAGGGAGGGUCAUCUGCUGUGCUGUGCUUAGUUGCUCAGUCGUGUCUGACUCUUUGUGACACCAUGGACUGUAGAACAUUAUUAAGAAAUGAAGAAUUAAGACGAGUUCAAAAAUGACUUCUGAUCUUCCAAACCAUCAUUGCAAAGGAGAGAAUAUAGUGGACUCUACACGUUCAUUAGGGGGAGCCAGUGUUUCUUCUGCCUACGAUCAUCAUCACUAGCACUAUGGGGCUCAGCCUCAUGCGCUGCAUAGAAAGAAAAAGAAGAAAGAAACAUAAUAUAUACUCAAAUCCUCAGUAAGCUGAAGUAUAGAUUAGCUCCAGUAUUCUGGCCUGGAGAAUUCCAUGGACUUCUCCAUGGGGUCCAAAAGAGUCGGACGUGACUGAGCCACUGUCACUUCAUAGAUCUUUUAAGAUCAUUGUCAGAAAGCACAUCACUUCCUGUUGAAAGAACUUCUCCUUAAAGCUUCCUUUUUCUAACUUUUUGAUGC
RNAcentral lists this long non-coding RNA (1307 nucleotides) under Bos grunniens (domestic yak). RNAcentral describes it as "lncRNA (ENSBGRG00000010952.1)". Lineage: Eukaryota; Metazoa; Chordata; Mammalia; Artiodactyla; Bovidae. The record is from RNAcentral.